AUAAAAGGCACAAAUGGAGUCUAAGUUGAACCAUCAAGUAAGAAAUUCAGGGACUAGAGAAAGCAAAAAGAUUCAUGGCUAGAGAAAACAAAAAGAUCAAGAUCUGACUUGAUAGUAGAAAAAAAGAACUCCAAGUAUAACAAUGAAAAAUUAUAUAUGUAUAUAAAUAUAUAAGAGUAUUAGGAAGAAAAUAAAAGAAAACAUAAAUGAAGGAAAAUACUACAAUAUAUGCUAAUGUCAACUAUCUUCAAAAUCAAGGUUAGUAUUUUAACUGUACUCAUGCAAGAACUAUGCUUUCCUGCAAUCUUAUUUUUCAUAUGUAAUGAUUUUUUUUUCUGGUUUUGGAAAAAGAUUAAACAUAAAACAUUGAAAAUAACA
Long non-coding RNA from Raphanus sativus (radish), 378 nucleotides. RefSeq lists it as uncharacterized. Lineage: Eukaryota; Viridiplantae; Streptophyta; Magnoliopsida; Brassicales; Brassicaceae. The transcript has 2 exons. The record is from RefSeq and is a predicted model, not a curated record.